AGGACUAACGCUGGCGGCGUGCCUAACACAUGCAAGUCGAACGAGAGUAGCAAUACUCUAGUGGCAGACGGGUGAGUAACACGUGGUCAACCUACCUCUUAGUGGGGGAUAACUAGCCGAAAGGUUAGCUAAUACCGCAUUCGAUCUUCGAUCGGCAUCGAUUGAAGAUGAAAGGCGCAAGUCGCUAAGAGACGGGACCGCGUCCCAUUAGCUAGUUGGUAGGGUAAUGGCCUACCAAGGCGACGAUGGGUAGCUGGCUUGAGAGAGCGACCAGCCACACUGGGACUGAGACACGGCCCAGACUCCUACGGGAGGCAGCAGUGAGGAAUUUUCCGCAAUGGGCGAAAGCCUGACGGAGCGACGCCGCGUGUGGGAAGAAGGCCUUCGGGUCGUAACCACUGUCGAAGGGAAGAUAUUGACGGUACCCUUGGAGGAAGCCCGGCUAACUACGCGCCAGCAGCCGC
RNAcentral lists this ribosomal RNA (464 nucleotides) under uncultured bacterium. RNAcentral describes it as "SSU rRNA". It matches the Rfam family "Bacterial small subunit ribosomal RNA", at positions 26 to 518 of the family's 1533-position model. The record is from RNAcentral.